GUGCUCCCUUCAGCAGUACAUACACUGUAACUGCAAUGACACAGAGAAGAUAAACAGGAAACCUGCAUGAGGAUGACACAAGGUAUUUGAAAUGCAUUUUAAGAUACA
This is a small nuclear RNA of Chionomys nivalis (European snow vole), 108 nucleotides long. NCBI's taxonomy places the organism in Eukaryota, Metazoa, Chordata, Mammalia, Rodentia, Cricetidae. The record is from RefSeq and is a predicted model, not a curated record.